This 68-nucleotide small RNA is filed under the name Mycobacteroides stephanolepidis. Its description in RNAcentral is "[Mycobacterium] stephanolepidis ASdes TB sRNA". It matches the Rfam family "ASdes TB sRNA". The record is from RNAcentral. Lineage: Bacteria; Bacillati; Actinomycetota; Actinomycetes; Mycobacteriales; Mycobacteriaceae.
AGUUCCACCGGAUCGACGGACCGCGUGACGACGAGAUAGUCACGAAUCGCGAUGCUGUGACGCUGUUC